Molecule: transfer RNA, 71 nt
Filed under: Campylobacterales bacterium
Lineage: Bacteria; Pseudomonadati; Campylobacterota; Epsilonproteobacteria; Campylobacterales
Description: tRNA-Ala
Rfam family: tRNA
About the family: Transfer RNA (tRNA) molecules are approximately 80 nucleotides in length. Their secondary structure includes four short double-helical elements and three loops (D, anti-codon, and T loops). Further hydrogen bonds mediate the characteristic L-shaped molecular structure. tRNAs have two regions of fundamental functional importance: the anti-codon, which is responsible for specific mRNA codon recognition, and the 3' end, to which the tRNAs corresponding amino acid is attached (by aminoacyl-tRNA synthetases). tRNAs cope with the degeneracy of the genetic code in two manners: having more than one tRNA (with a specific anti-codon) for a particular amino acid; and 'wobble' base-pairing, i.e. permitting non-standard base-pairing at the 3rd anti-codon position.
Source: RNAcentral
GAGCCGUUAGAUAAAUGGAAUAUUGCGUGCCGUGCAAACACGAGUUAUAGGUUCGAUUCCUAUACGGCUUA